Molecule: small nucleolar RNA, 132 nt
Organism: Sorex fumeus (smoky shrew)
Lineage: Eukaryota; Metazoa; Chordata; Mammalia; Eulipotyphla; Soricidae
Source: RefSeq, a predicted model, not a curated record
GUGCAAAUUCAUCACUAACUCUGCAUGAUGUUGCAAUUAUGAGAGGAACCAGGUUUGCUAAAGUAGCUGCGGUGAUAGAAAUGAAUUAACUUCAGAUCCUACUGAGGUUACGUAUUUUAGUUUAGUACAGGG